Peromyscus eremicus (cactus mouse) is the source of this 1007-nucleotide long non-coding RNA. RefSeq lists it as uncharacterized. The transcript has 3 exons. The record is from RefSeq and is a predicted model, not a curated record. NCBI's taxonomy places the organism in Eukaryota, Metazoa, Chordata, Mammalia, Rodentia, Cricetidae.
AAAAAUAAAUAAACAGAUGAUGGGGAUGGGAGCCAAAGCCUGUUAUGACAAGAGCGUUUGGGCACAGUUCACUCUAGCUUGAUGGGAGUGUCACGGGGAUGUGGGAGCUUGCUCAGCUCCCUUAUGACUUUCUUGCCUUUCAGCUCCUCACCCUCUGUCUUAUGUGGUGGGGAAAGCAGAGAUGAAAUAUGGCUCUCUGGAGGGCUGUGCCUUUGUGAAAGGCUGUUAUAGCUGUAACAAAACUUUUGUAAUCUGUAACCAUAUCCCAUUACAUCUCCAGGCUCCUUGGGUCUCUUCCCAGCCGUAAGGAAAACACAACACACCCUUUUGCUCCCUCUCCUUCGUGCGUUCUUCCUUGCGCCCCUGCUAGUCUCUACUCUUUCAAAGGCCGUCACAGUUGUUCUUUUCACACAGAUUGUUCCUCUUAGCCUUUGACAGGAAUUGGCCCGAGAUCUCCAGAAAGGCUGGGUGGUAUCUGUGUUAGUACUUAACAAAUGGAGGAAGCUGGGACCGAGCACAGGAUGAACUUGCUUCAGUGAUUCAGGGGCUGCUUGAUGUCUCUUAUGACAGAGCUAGCCUUUCUUCAGCCUAGAUUAUCGCCACCAUCACUCAUUAUCUUCUUCCAUGUUUCAAGGGACAUCAACUGGCUUGGUGGUGAAGGAACAAACUGAAACCAGACUCGGGGGCCUGCCUCAACUGCACUAGUUACUAGCUGCACGUCCUUAGGAAACAGCAUUCAAUCUUUCUACUUCCUCGUACGCAUAAUGAGGUUACUGAUAAUUGUCUUGUAACUUGAGGGUUAUGAGAUGGUCCGUGUCACAUGCUGUGAAAGUUCUGGAUGGAUGUGAGACUAGACCACACACUGCUGGGACCUCUAGAGAAGAUAUUAAUUUGUUUUCAAACCAAAUGAUUACCUUUCUGAAAAGUCAUCAGGGUAUUCCAAAGCAGAUGAAGAGGUGAGGGAAGAGUGGGGUGUAUACCCGAUGGAAUAUCGCGCAAUCUUUAAG